CGCCUUAUACUCCUACGGGAGGCAGCAGUAGGGAAUCUUCCGCAAUGGACGAAAGUCUGACGGAGCAACGCCGCGUGAGCGAAGAAGGCCUUCGGGUCGUAAAGCUCUGUUGUUAGGGAAGAACAAGUAACGCAGUAACUGGCGUUACCGUGACGGUACCUAACGAGAAAGCCACGGCUAACUACGUGCCAGCAGCCGCGGUAAUACGUAGGUGGCAAGCGUUGUCCGGAAUUAUUGGGCGUAAAGCGCGCGCAGGCGGUUCCUUAAGUCUGAUGUGAAAGCCCACGGCUCAACCGUGGAGGGUCAUUGGAAACUGGGGGACUUGAGUGCAGAAGAGGAGAGCGGAAUUCCACGUGUAGCGGUGAAAUGCGCAGAGAUGUGGAGGAACACCAGUGGCGAAGGCGGCUCUCUGGUCUGUAACUGACGCUGAGGCGCGAAAGCGUGGGGAGCAAACAGGAUUAGAUACCCGAGUAGUCCACGUACCA
This 485-nucleotide ribosomal RNA is filed under the name uncultured bacterium. RNAcentral describes it as "bacterial SSU rRNA". It matches the Rfam family "Bacterial small subunit ribosomal RNA", at positions 327 to 804 of the family's 1533-position model. The record is from RNAcentral.